AGGAACUCAGAUUACCUAAUUUACUCCGUGUGGUCUCCCGUUGACGUCUGCACGCGCUCUUGCUUGGUGUCUCCCGGCUAGACCGUGACUUUCAUCGUGGGCUUUACGGUUGACCACUGGCUUGUAGGCAGCUGCCAUUUGACUCUCACAACAACCCUGAGGAAGGUGCCACGAGAGGUUUUACAGCUGAGGAAACUGAGGCUGUCGAGUGACUUGAUCAGCAUCACACAGUAAAAACUGAAUCUGGGUCUUCUUGACUCCCAGUCCAUUACCGUCUCUUCUCUACCAGUGAUGUCAGACCCUGUGGGCCACAUAUUGGCUCAGAAAAUAUGUUACCAUUCUCUGUGUCUGUCGUAUUUUUGUUUAUUGUGUUAAGCAUUUCCCAAUUACUUUUUAAUCUGGGGGGUUUUGUGAGUGCAUGUGUGCUACCUCUGCUCUAUUUUCCUCAUCCUCUCAGUGAAAACUGUGAGCCAAAGUGCCACAUUCCUUCACACAUCAAUGUGAGCAUGGCCUUCAGCAGCUCAGAUUGCCACCACUCUGCAGGUCAAUAGACGGUCUUUAGGAGUCAAGGCAGCUGAAAACUGUACCACCACCACCCCACCCACCCCCAGCCAACCUAGUCAGUAGAUAGUAAACAUUUAUGAAGCACCUA
Vombatus ursinus (common wombat) is the source of this 652-nucleotide long non-coding RNA. RefSeq lists it as uncharacterized. The transcript has 2 exons. Lineage: Eukaryota; Metazoa; Chordata; Mammalia; Diprotodontia; Vombatidae. The record is from RefSeq and is a predicted model, not a curated record.